Molecule: ribosomal RNA, 425 nt
Filed under: uncultured bacterium
Lineage: Bacteria
Description: bacterial SSU rRNA
Rfam family: Bacterial small subunit ribosomal RNA
Source: RNAcentral
GGGGAAUAUUGGACAAUGGGCGCAAGCCUGAUCCAGCCAUACCGCGUGAGUGAAGAAGGCCCUCGGGUUGUAAAGCUCUUUUGUUGGGAAAGAAAUCCUGUUGGUUAAUACCUGGCAGGGAUGACGGUACCCAAAGGAUAAGCACCGGCUAACUUCGUGCCAGCAGCCGCGGUAAUACGAAGGGUGCAAGCGUUACUCGGAAUUACUGGGCGUAAAGCGUGCGUAGGUGGUUGUUUAAGUCUGUCGUGAAAGCCCUGGGCUCAACCUGGGAAUUGCGAUGGAUACUGGGCGACUAGAAUGUGGUAGAGGGUGGCGGAAUUCCCGGUGUAGCAGUGAAAUGCGUAGAGAUCGGCAGGAACAUCCGUGGCGAAGGCGGCCACCUGGACCAACAUUGACACUGAGGCACGAAAGCGUGGGGAGCAAAC